AGUCAUAUGCUUGUCUCAAAGAUUAAGCCAUGCAUGUCUAAGUAUAAGCAUUAUACAGUGAAACUGCGAAUGGCUCAUUAAAUCAGUUAUCGUUUAUUUGAUAGUUCAUUACUACUUGGGUAACCGUGGUAAUUCUAGAGCUAAUACAUGCUAAAACUCCCUUCACGGGGAUGUAUUUAUUAGAUAAANNNCCAAUGCCUUUGGGCUUUUUGGUGAUUCAUAAUAACUUCUCGGAAUCGCAUGGCCUUGCGCCGGCGAUGGUUCAUUCAAAUUUCUGCCCUAUCAACUUUCGAUGGUAGGAUAGUGGCCUACCAUGGUUUCAACGGGUAACGGGGAAUAAGGGUUCUAUUCCGGAGAGGGAGCCUGAGAAACGGCUACCACAUCCAAGGAAGGCAGCAGGCGCGCAAAUUACCCAAUCCUGACACGGGGAGGUAGUGACAAUAAAUAACGAUGCAGGGCCCAUUGGGUCUUGUAAUUGGAAUGAGUACAAUUUAAACACCUUAACGAGGAACAAUUGGGGGGCAAGUCUGGUGCCAGCAGCCCGGUAAUUCCAGCCCCAAUACCGUAUAUUAAUGUUGUUGCAGUUAAAAAGCUCGUAGUUGAACUUCGGAUCUUGCCAGCGGUCCGCCGUUAGUGUGUUACUGGUUUUGGCAGGUCUUCCUUCUGAUACGGGCCAUCUUCACCGGGGAUGUGGUUUUAAGUUCCAAGUAACUUUUACUUUGAAAAAAUUAGAGUGUUCAAAGCAGGCCUAUUGCUCGAAUAUAUUAGCUUGGAAUAAUAAAAUAGGACGAUUCGGUUCUAUUUUGUUGGUUUCUAGGACCGCCGUAAUGAUUAAUAGGGACAGUCGGGGGCAUCAGUACUCAGUUGUCAGAGGUGAAAUUCUUGGAUUAACUGAAGACUAACUACUGCGAAAGCAUUUGCCAAGGAUGUUUUCAUUAAUCAAGAACGAAAGUUAGGGGAUCGAAGAUGCUUAGAUACCGUCGUAGUCUUAACCAUAAGCUAUGCCGACUAGGGAUCGGCCGAUGUCCUUUUUAUUGACACGCUCGGCACCUUACGAGAAAUCAAAGUUUUUGGGUUCUGGGGGGAGUAUGGUCGCAAGCCUGAACCUUAAAGGAAUUGACGGAAGGGCACCACUAGGAGUGGAGCCUGCGGCUAAUUUGACUCAACACGGGGAAANUCACCAGGUCCAGACACCAAUAAGGAUUGACAGAUUGAGAGCUCUUCUUGAUUUUGUGGGUGGUGGUGCAUGCCGUUCUUAGUUGGUGGAGUGAUUUGUCUCCUUAAUUGCGAUAACGAACGAGACCUUAACCUACUAAAUAGCUCGACUAGCAUUUUGCUGGUUUGCAAGCUUCUUAGAGGGACUAUCGAUUUCAAGUCGAUGGAAGUUUGAGGCAAUAACAGGUCUGUGAUGCCCUUAGACGUUCUGGGCCGCACGCGCGCUACACUGACGGAGCCAGCGAGUAUAAUCCUUGGUCCGAGAGGUCUGGGUAAUCUUGUUAAACUCCGUCGUGCUGGGGAUAGAGCAUUGUAAUUAUUGCUCUUCAACGAGGAAUCCCUAGUAAGCGCAAGUCAUCAGCUUGCGUUGAAUACGUUUCUGCCCUUUGUACACACCGCCCGUCGCUACUACCGAUUGAAUGGCUUAGUGAGGCCUCCGGAUUGGCGAGAAAGAUGGGCAACUAUCAUUUCUUGCCGAAAAGCUGGUCAAACUUGGUCAUUUAGAGGAAGUAAAAGUCGUAACAAGGUU
RNAcentral lists this ribosomal RNA (1744 nucleotides) under Groenewaldozyma salmanticensis. Its description in RNAcentral is "SSU rRNA". It matches the Rfam family "Eukaryotic small subunit ribosomal RNA". The record is from RNAcentral. Lineage: Eukaryota; Fungi; Ascomycota; Dipodascomycetes; Dipodascales; Trichomonascaceae.